This 482-nucleotide ribosomal RNA is filed under the name Cryptosporidium sp. vole genotype IX. RNAcentral describes it as "SSU rRNA". It matches the Rfam family "Eukaryotic small subunit ribosomal RNA", at positions 514 to 1024 of the family's 1831-position model. RNAcentral also lists the same sequence under 1 other name. Lineage: Eukaryota; Apicomplexa; Conoidasida; Eucoccidiorida; Cryptosporidiidae. The record is from RNAcentral.
AUGAGUUAAGUAUAAACCCCUUUACAAGUAUCAAUUGGAGGGCAAGUCUGGUGCCAGCAGCCGCGGUAAUUCCAGCUCCAAUAGCGUAUAUUAAAGUUGUUGCAGUUAAAAAGCUCGUAGUUGGAUUUCUGUUAAUAAUUUAUAUAUAAUAUUUUAUGAUAUUUAUAUAAUAUUAACAUAAUUCAUAUUACUAUAUUUAUUAGUAUAUGAAAUUUUACUUUGAGAAAAUUAGAGUGCUUAAAGCAGGCGUUUGCCUUGAAUACUCCAGCAUGGAAUAAUAUAAAAGAUUUUUAUCUUUUUUAUUGGUUCUAAGAUAAAAAUAAUGAUUAAUAGGGACAGUUGGGGGCAUUUGUAUUUAACAGUCAGAGGUGAAAUUCUUAGAUUUGUUAAAGACAAACUAGUGCGAAAGCAUUUGCCAAGGAUGUUUUCAUUAAUCAAGAACGAAAGUUAGGGGAUCGAAGACGAUCAGAUACCGUCGUAGU